CCUACGGGAGGCAGCAGUAAGGAAUAUUGGUCAAUGGACGCAAGUCUGAACCAGCCAUGCCGCGUGAAGGAUUAAGGCCCUCUGGGUUGUAAACUUCUUUUAUAGGGGACGAAAAAAGGGCAUUCUUGCUCACUUGACGGUACCCUAGGAAUAAGCACCGGCUAACUCCGUGCCAGCAGCCGCGGUAAUACGGAGGGUGCAAGCGUUAUCCGGAUUUACUGGGUUUAAAGGGUUAGCGUAGGUGGGUUGGUAAGUCAGUGGUGAAAUCUUCGAGCUUAACUCGGAAACUGCCAUUGAUACUAUCAAUCUUGAAUCAUCUAGAGGUAAGCGGAAUAUGUCAUGUAGCGGUGAAAUGCUUAGAUAUGACAUAGAACACCAAUUGCGAAGGCAGCUUACUAUGGAUGUAUUGACACUGAGGCACGAAAGCGUGGGGAUCAAACAGGAUUAGAUACCCUGGUAGUCCACGACCCUAAACGAUGGAUACUCGACAUUUGUGAUAUACUAUAAGUGUCUGAGCGAAAGCAUUAAAGUAUCCCACCUGGGAAGUACGACCGCAAGGUUGAAACUCAAAGGAAAUUGAGG
RNAcentral lists this ribosomal RNA (582 nucleotides) under uncultured bacterium. Its description in RNAcentral is "bacterial SSU rRNA". It matches the Rfam family "Bacterial small subunit ribosomal RNA", at positions 338 to 916 of the family's 1533-position model. The record is from RNAcentral.